AGUGUUUUAUUAGUCAAAAUCUGUUUUGAUUUGUGUUUUUAAGUGUCUUGAGUCAAGUUAGAACCUAAUUUCAUCCAAAACCAUCCCUAGAGUCAGUUUAGAGUCUAAUUCAUCGUUUUAAGCUGUUUUGAGUCUUUUAAACUAGUUUUGAGUCUUUUUAGUUUGUAUUGCAUCUUUUGAGUCUAGUUUGGUGUUUUAAACUUAAUUUUACGUUUUUAAGUCAGUUUCAAGUGUUUUAGCAAUCCCUCCUAAUCCCUGGCCUAGAACGAUCCCUAUUUACAUUCUUUACUACAAUUGACAACAAGAUGGUUUAAUUUGUGUGUUAAGUUAUUUUCGCAUCAAAUUUUUGAAUUCUUACAGUCGACCCCACUUAGAGGAAUAAGGCUCUGUUGUUGUUGUUGUUUGGAUGAAAACAACUUCAUCAUUUAUGACGUCUUUACUCAAUAAAUUGUAACUAAAGAUUUCUUGAUUGAAAAUAUAAAUUUCACGUUAGGAGUAAAAUCUUGCAAGAUAGGUUAAAUGAUCUUGAGUCUGUCUUGAAACAUUGCCAAAUGUUUUUGGGCGUUAAUGUUUAUAUUUUAACGUGAUAUCAGUGUAAGAUAUGAGUAUGAAUUCUACUUCGGAGAACCAAAUUGCAUUGCUAAUUUGUUUGUGGUUCGUCUUGAAAAUGCCUAAAAGGUUUUUGUUUUCUUGAAGUACAUGGGAUCGAUAUAUGUAUCGUGAGCAACUGGUGAAAAAUAUCGAUAAAAGAAUUAAGAAUUGGAAUUUGCAGAACCAAUUUACAUGUCAAUGAGUGCAUGCAUGCUUCGAGAUUUUUGUUGUUUUCAGAAUAAGUGCAUGAGUGCCAAAACAUGUGCCUUACGGUAAAAUUAAUAUUAAAGUAACUGAAAUCCCAGAAAAAGUCUUUGUUUGUCCAAGCACGCGUUGGCUAUUGACCAAUAUUAGGUUAAUAAUUAAGUGGUUGAAAGCUUUAAAUCAAUCGGAGCUUGGUCCCUCCAAAAAUUCUUGUUUUGUGAAUAGUGUACUAUACAUGCUUAAUAAUAAUAAUAAUAUUAUUAUUAUUAUUAUUAUUCUUACAGGCUCCAGUCAAACCAAAUUAUUCCUACUGUUGGCGUAAUAUGGCGGCAUCUAGGUCUAUU
This 1139-nucleotide long non-coding RNA is filed under the name Malus domestica (apple). RNAcentral's name for it is "long non-coding RNA (MDOM_LNC006234)". The record is from RNAcentral. Lineage: Eukaryota; Viridiplantae; Streptophyta; Magnoliopsida; Rosales; Rosaceae.